AACCAUUCUCACCUGCGGCUAGACCUGCGGAAGGAUCAUUACCGAGUGUGAACCCCCCCGUAAAAAAGAGGGGUUACCUCCCGUCCUUUGCUGGGAACCCCUUUCCAACUUGGAAGGAGGUUGUUUUCAGACCCUUCUGCUUCGGUGGGGUAACCCACCGGAACAACCUCAAAAAUAUUCUCAAUUCAAAACCGUUCAGUCCGAGAACUUUUUUGAAAAGCGAAAAAACUUUUAGCAAUG
Molecule: unclassified non-coding RNA, 240 nt
Filed under: soil metagenome
Description: partial contains 5.8S ribosomal RNA, internal transcribed spacer 2, and large subunit ribosomal RNA
Source: RNAcentral